UACGUAGGGCGCAAGCGUUGUCCGGAUUUAUUGGGCGUAAAGAGCUCGUAGGCGGUUCCGUAAGUCGGAUGUGAAAAAUCUGGGCUCAACCCAGUGGAGCACCCGAUACUGCGGUGACUCGAGUCCGGUAGGGGAGUGUGGAAUUCCUGGUGUAGCGGUGAAAUGCGCAGAUAUCAGGAGGAACACCGACGGCGAAGGCAGCACUCUGGGCCGGUACUGACGCUGAGGAGCGAAAGCAUGGGGAGCGAACAGG
Molecule: ribosomal RNA, 253 nt
Filed under: uncultured bacterium
Lineage: Bacteria
Description: partial 16S ribosomal RNA
Rfam family: Bacterial small subunit ribosomal RNA
Source: RNAcentral